RNAcentral lists this ribosomal RNA (516 nucleotides) under uncultured bacterium. Its description in RNAcentral is "partial 16S ribosomal RNA". It matches the Rfam family "Bacterial small subunit ribosomal RNA", at positions 355 to 860 of the family's 1533-position model. The record is from RNAcentral.
UGGGGAAUUUUGGACAAUGGGCGCAAGCCUGAUCCAGCAAUGCCGCGUGCAGGAUGAAGGCCUUCGGGUUGUAAACUGCUUUUGUACGGAACGAAAAGCCUCUCUCUAAUACAGGGGGGUGAUGACGGUACCGUAAGAAUAAGCACCGGCUAACUACGUGCCAGCAGCCGCGGUAAUACGUAGGGUGCAAGCGUUAAUCGGAAUUACUGGGCGUAAAGCGUGCGCAGGCGGUUUUGUAAGACAGUGGUGAAAUCCCCGGGCUCAACCUGGGAACUGCCAUUGUGACUGCAAGGCUGGAGUGCGGCAGAGGGGGAUGGAAUUCCGCGUGUAGCAGUGAAAUGCGUAGAUAUGCGGAGGAACACCGAUGGCGAAGGCAGUCCCCCUGGGCCUGCACUGACGCUCAUGCACGAAAGCGUGGGGAGCAAACAGGAUUAGAUACCCUGGUAGUCCACGCCCUAAAACGAUGUCAACUGGUUGUUGGGGAUUUUAUUUCUUCAGUAACGAAGCUGAACGCGU